AAAGGAACAGAAUCACAACUUACUGCUCCCCUCAGGUAAGAGGGAUGCAUGGAAAUAACACAGAGCUUCCUCUCAAAGCUGCACGGCAAUAAUGUUUCUUUCCUUUGUCCUCCAUGAAGAGAGAAACGAACUAGACCAGAAGUUGCAUGCAAUCAAGUUUAGUCAACUUCGUGACUCCAUUCGCAAGUGUGGGGCUGGAGAAGUGGCAGCCAUUAAGUGUAAGCAGACUAUCCAUUAAAACCGUGAUUCUGUGUGGAGCUUCACAGAGAGCCAAUGGAUGGCCAGUAUGGGACAAAAGAGGCUUGCAAGUCUAUGAUAAAUUGAA
Molecule: long non-coding RNA, 325 nt
Organism: Podarcis muralis (Common wall lizard)
Lineage: Eukaryota; Metazoa; Chordata; Lepidosauria; Squamata; Lacertidae
Source: RefSeq, a predicted model, not a curated record